RNAcentral lists this unclassified non-coding RNA (336 nucleotides) under soil metagenome. RNAcentral describes it as "partial contains 5.8S ribosomal RNA, internal transcribed spacer 2, and large subunit ribosomal RNA". The stretch from base 1 to 120 matches the Rfam family "5.8S ribosomal RNA", at positions 35 to 154 of the family's 154-position model. The record is from RNAcentral.
GAUGAAUAACGCAGCGAAAUGCGAUAAGUAAUGUGAAUUGCAGAAUUCAGUGAAUCAUCGAAUCUUUGAACGCACAUUGCGCCCGCCAGUAUUCUGGCGGGCAUGCCUGUUCGAGCGUCAUUUCAACCAUCAAGCCCCCGGCUUGUGUUGGGGACCUGCGGCUGCCACAGGCCCUGAAAAGCAGUGGCGGGCUCGCUGUCACACCGAGCGUAGUAGCAUACAUCUCGCUCUGGGCGUGCUGCGGGUUCCGGCCGUUAAACCACCUUCAUAACCCAAGGUUGACCUCGGAUCAGGUAGGAAGACCCGCUGAACUUAAGCAUAUCAAUAAGCGGAGGA